RNAcentral lists this transfer RNA (73 nucleotides) under Felis catus (domestic cat). It matches the Rfam family "tRNA". From Rfam's summary of the family: Transfer RNA (tRNA) molecules are approximately 80 nucleotides in length. Their secondary structure includes four short double-helical elements and three loops (D, anti-codon, and T loops). The record is from Rfam by way of RNAcentral. RNAcentral also lists the same sequence under 5 other names. Lineage: Eukaryota; Metazoa; Chordata; Mammalia; Carnivora; Felidae.
GCCUGGCUAGCUCAGUCGGUGGAGCAUGUGACUCUUGAUCUCGGGGUCAUGAGUUCGAGCCCCAUGUUGGGUG